CCCAGACUCCUACGGGAGGCAGCAGUGGGGAAUAUUGCACAAUGGGGGAAACCCUGAUGCAGCGACGCCGCGUGAGCGAAGAAGUACCUCGGUAUGUAAACUUCUAUCAGCAGGGAAGAAAAUGACGGUACCUGACUAAGAAGCCCCGGCUAACUACGUGCCAGCAGCCGCGGUAAUACGGAGGAUGCGAGCGUUAUCCGGAUUUAUUGGGUUUAAAGGGUGCGCAGGCGGCGUGUCAAGUCAGCGGUAAAAUGUCGGGGCUCAACCCCGGCCGGCCGUUGAAACUGGCGUGCUCGAGUUGGAGAGAAGUAUGCGGAAUUCGUGGUGUAGCGGUGAAAUGCAUAGAUAUCACGAAGAACCCCGAUUGCGAAGGCAGCAUACCGGCGCCCGACUGACGCUGCGGCACGAAAGCGUGGGUAUCGAACAGGAUUAGAUACCCGCGUACA
RNAcentral lists this ribosomal RNA (446 nucleotides) under uncultured bacterium. Its description in RNAcentral is "partial 16S ribosomal RNA". It matches the Rfam family "Bacterial small subunit ribosomal RNA", at positions 330 to 794 of the family's 1533-position model. The record is from RNAcentral.